Molecule: long non-coding RNA, 949 nt
Organism: Gasterosteus aculeatus aculeatus (three-spined stickleback)
Lineage: Eukaryota; Metazoa; Chordata; Actinopteri; Perciformes; Gasterosteidae
Source: RefSeq, a predicted model, not a curated record
AAUAACUGCAACAUUUCUCUUGCAUUCAUCGAUGAAAUAAAUCCGCUCCACUCCAGUGAAACCGGAGGGAUCGAUUAUACUCAGCCAGGGAUCAGCCAGAGGUGGUGCGCCUGUGCGGCAUGACCGCGCUCACCAGCGGAUGAUUAAGACGGACCUGACUGUUGCUAGGAGACCGCUGACGCCAGACGUGCACGAGAGAAAGAGAGAGAGAGAGAGAGAGAGCACAAGGGGGGAGGAGGGGGGGGGGAGACAUUCAUGCCCCCCUGCGGUGCGACUCCACAACGACCGACGGAUUCGAAUUAUUUAUAGGGACGUGGUUUACGCAGAUACGUGGAUACAUUUGAACAUUGGGCUGCAAUAGUGAAUCAAUGGAAUAAUAGAAUUAGACACAAGGCUGCAGAGUGCUGCUCUGCGCAGAAUUGCAAAAAAAAAAGUAUUUUCUGCCUUCAUACUGGACUUUGAUGAUCAGUCCUUUGCAUAAUCUGCAGUGUGCACAUCAGGGCGGUAACGCUUUGUAACUGUGCCCCUUUUAUCUCAAUGAAUGAAGUCAUUGCAUGUGAUUGUGUAGCAUGUACUACACAUUUUUGCCGCAUAGGUGAUAGUUGAGAAAACCAUCUAGAGAUCAAAAGGUACAGAUUUAUCUUCCUCCAACCUGUUUUUUCAGACAAAGCGAAAUGAAAAGACGCGAUUGGGGCCGUGCCCCAAAUCCCUGCCUUCAUCGUUUGGCCCUGCAGAUGUUAACAGAUGUUAAUAAUUGUUUGGCCUUAAAUUGAGCUGAAGUUGGAUGAUCUUAAGGCUGCUUGCUUUUGUUGGAUUUUAUAGAAUAUGUUGCCUUUGUUUCUCGUUAUUUUUGGUUGAACAAAACGCUGGCUUUCCAAAUGUCUGUUUCAUUUGGCUUUUACGUUCCACCUUCUCAUUAAAGCUGUAAUAAAAAAAUAUUUGUAUUUUA